ACUCCUACGGGAGGCAGCAGUGGGGAAUAUUGGACAAUGGGCGCAAGCCUGAUCCAGCCAUGCCGCGUGGGUGAAGAAGGCCUUAGGGUUGUAAACCCCUUUCAGCGGGGAAGAUAAUGACGGUACCCGCAGAAGAAGUCCCGGCUAACUCCGUGCCAGCAGCCGCGGUAAUACGGAGGGGACUAGCGUUGUUCGGAAUUACUGGGCGUAAAGCGCACGUAGGCGGAUUUGUAAGUCAGGGGUGAAAUCCCGGGGCUCAACCUCGGAACGGCCUUUGAUACUGCAAAUCUCGAGUCCGGAAGAGGUGAGUGGAAUUCCUAGUGUAGCGGUGAAAUGCGUAGAGAUC
RNAcentral lists this ribosomal RNA (346 nucleotides) under uncultured bacterium. RNAcentral describes it as "bacterial SSU rRNA". It matches the Rfam family "Bacterial small subunit ribosomal RNA", at positions 335 to 698 of the family's 1533-position model. The record is from RNAcentral.